This 61-nucleotide transfer RNA is filed under the name Angiostrongylus costaricensis. It matches the Rfam family "tRNA". From Rfam's summary of the family: Transfer RNA (tRNA) molecules are approximately 80 nucleotides in length. Their secondary structure includes four short double-helical elements and three loops (D, anti-codon, and T loops). The record is from Rfam by way of RNAcentral. Lineage: Eukaryota; Metazoa; Nematoda; Chromadorea; Rhabditida; Metastrongylidae.
AGGGUGUUAACUUAAGUUUUAAAGUGUUGGAUUUUUAAUCCAGAAAUGUAUACACGCUCUU